AAAGCGUGCGCAGGCGGUUAUGUAAGACAGAUGUGAAAUCCCCGGGCUCAACCUGGGAACUGCAUUUGUGACUGCAUGGCUAGAGUACGGUAGAGGGGGAUGGAAUUCCGCGUGUAGCAGUGAAAUGCGUAGAUAUGCGGAGGAACACCGAUGGCGAAGGCAAUCCCCUGGACCUGUACUGACGCUCAUGCACGAAAGCGUGGGGAGCAAACAGGAUUGGAUACCCUUGU
RNAcentral lists this ribosomal RNA (230 nucleotides) under uncultured bacterium. Its description in RNAcentral is "partial 16S ribosomal RNA". It matches the Rfam family "Bacterial small subunit ribosomal RNA", at positions 562 to 791 of the family's 1533-position model. The record is from RNAcentral.